GGAGAGAUGGCUCAGCGGUUAAGAGCACUGACUCCUCUUCCAGAGGUCCUGAGUUCAAUUCCCAGCAACCACA
Molecule: transfer RNA, 73 nt
Filed under: Mus musculus (house mouse)
Lineage: Eukaryota; Metazoa; Chordata; Mammalia; Rodentia; Muridae
Description: tRNA-Arg
Source: RNAcentral